Molecule: transfer RNA, 74 nt
Filed under: Pseudomonas phage phiPsa347
Lineage: Duplodnaviria; Heunggongvirae; Uroviricota; Caudoviricetes; Vandenendeviridae
Description: tRNA-Leu
Rfam family: tRNA
About the family: Transfer RNA (tRNA) molecules are approximately 80 nucleotides in length. Their secondary structure includes four short double-helical elements and three loops (D, anti-codon, and T loops).
Source: RNAcentral
GGGGAUGUGACGCAAUUGGUAGACGUAUGGAGCUUAGACCUCCAGUGUUGUCGGUUCGACUCCGACCUUCCCCA